CAGAGCCAGAUGCCCCAGCACUAUGUCCUGUCAGCAGCCGGCAGCCCACCCUGUCUUAGCCGGGACAAGGGAGGGUGCUGUGCCCCUGGCAGGGCCAGCCUUUGGCCUUCCUUGCAGGGAUGAGGCCCUGGGAAGUCGAGCUGUUGGUGGCGCAGGGAGAGGUGUCCAGGGCAGGCGGAUAGGGCUUAAUCGAGCAGCCUGGGUGGGGUUGGGUCCUCCUGCCGGCUGCCACUCAGUGAUGGAUAUCUCUGGGUGGUCCUGUACCUCGUGCCAGGAUACACACAGUGCUCUGGGCCCACUGUCUGGGCUCACAGCCUCGUUUCCAGGGGGUUGGGUGGUGUUCUAAGCCUCAGUUUUCCCACUGUGGAGGAGAUGCUGCUGGAGGGAUGAGGAUCGUAGAGCACAGCCUGGCAGCUUCUGUGUCCACUGUCCCUGGGGAACGGGGGUGUGGGACGGGUAGGCUUCCCCAUCAGGGCUGGGCAUGCCAGGGGCACAGCACCCUCACAUGCCCACGUGGGGGGCUCUGUGGCUCUGACUCCGUGACUCUAGGGUGCUGCCUGCACUUCUCAGGGCUGGAAGCUGCCUUUCCCCACCAGCCUUUGGUUUCUAUCUCAGUCAACCCUGCCCUGGAGCACAGACCUCCCACUGAGGGAACCCUCCCCACACAGGGCCAGAGGGCAGAUAACAGCAGCCAGCCCCAGGAGAAGCAGGGAGCUAGGUGCCUCCAGCCUGAACGGUGAGAUCUGGGAGAGUUCCAGAGUCAUUCCUUAAUCCUGGAUGAGCCCCUGCAGCCUGGGUGCUACUCAGGUUCCAGCAAGACCGGGAGCAGGUGCAGGUGAGGCCCGAGUCCAGGUGGGGCCCAGGCCAGGUGAAGUCCAGGUCAGGGGAGGCUGAGGUGGAUGUGUGAGGCUUCUGCAGUUUUCUGUGGGUGCUGACCCUGCCUGGUGUCCCUGCCUCUCCUCCCAGCCCCCACGCUGUGCCUGCAAGGUGGCGGCCCCUGCACAGGAAGUGCUGGCUGUGGAGGAGCUGGGCUCUGCCUUCCUGUGCAUGGGAGUCCUUCUCGGGCUCUGGCCGGGGAGUGUGGCUGAGUUGCUUCUCUCUGGAAUUCACUGAGUGUGCUGUCCUCGAGGGUAUAUGUCCUUGCUCCAUAUCAGGCCACAGGAGCUGCCAGCAGGUACCGGCCUGCCCUGCUGCACGGUGAGCCUGCAGCGUGUCGUGGAUGCCCAGGGAGGUGAGUGCUCCACACAUCAGGCCUUUUUGUCUUCAAAGUCGUUUCUUUGGGGGAUACAUCAUCGGUGUCUCAUAUACUAAAUAUAUGUCUGUAUCAUUGUGCAAUGUCCUGUGUCAUUGCUUGUUUCUACAACCUGGGUUAAUGUUUUUACUAUUAUGAACGGUGCUGGAGUGAGAAUUUUCUAAACACAGCUGUGUGCAUUUUCCUCUUUUUGCGAUUUAGAAGUUUAACUGCUGUUUUCAAGGUACUGUAAUGUGUUUGUUCUGUUCUUGUUAGGAGACUUGCCAACCCUGUGCGUCUCAGUUCAUACCCUCUUCCUUGCCCAGUAGAAGUAACCACAACUGUGUUUCUGUGAUCACCAUUUUCUUGAUUUUCUUUGUAGUUUUUCUAGUGGAAAGUUUAUCCCUUAAGAAGAUAGUUCAUUUUGCCGGGUGUAAAUUUUAUUUAGAAGAAAUCACAUUGAAAUUAUUUUUUUGGACUUUCUUUUGUUACCCCAGUUACUCAGCCUU
Long non-coding RNA from Piliocolobus tephrosceles (Ugandan red Colobus), 1740 nucleotides. The record is from Ensembl. NCBI's taxonomy places the organism in Eukaryota, Metazoa, Chordata, Mammalia, Primates, Cercopithecidae.